Molecule: non-coding RNA, 209 nt
Organism: Schizosaccharomyces pombe (fission yeast)
Lineage: Eukaryota; Fungi; Ascomycota; Schizosaccharomycetes; Schizosaccharomycetales; Schizosaccharomycetaceae
Source: the annotation of a GenBank genome assembly
ACGCAAAAUAUCAAGAACUGUACGAUAAGCAUCCCACAAAAAUUUCAACCAUGGAGUGACCAAAGCACGGUCUGUGCGGCUCUUGGAAAGGUCUCCCGAAACCAAAGACAUCAUGAUGCUCUCGGGAGUUUCAGUAGCCUCAAGAUCGUCAACAUAUUCAACUGAUAUCUUGUCUGCCUUCUCCUGAGCUUCUUGAACUCUUUUAUUAG